This 478-nucleotide ribosomal RNA is filed under the name uncultured bacterium. RNAcentral describes it as "partial 16S ribosomal RNA". It matches the Rfam family "Bacterial small subunit ribosomal RNA", at positions 28 to 523 of the family's 1533-position model. The record is from RNAcentral.
GACGAACGCUGGCGGCGUGCCUAACACAUGCAAGUCGAGCGAGUGGAGUUCUUCGGAACAAAGCUAGCGGCGGACGGGUGAGUAACACGUGGGCAACCUGCCUCAUAGAGGGGAAUAGCCUCCCGAAAGGGAGAUUAAUACCGCAUAAGAUUGUAGCUUCGCAUGAAGUAGCAAUUAAAGGAGCAAUCCGCUAUGAGAUGGGCCCGCGGCGCAUUAGCUAGUUGGUGAGGUAACGGCUCACCAAGGCGACGAUGCGUAGCCGACCUGAGAGGGUGAUCGGCCACAUUGGGACUGAGACACGGCCCAGACUCCUACGGGAGGCAGCAGUGGGGAAUAUUGCACAAUGGGGGAAACCCUGAUGCAGCAACGCCGCGUGAGUGAUGACGGCCUUCGGGUUGUAAAGCUCUGUCUUCAGGGACGAUAAUGACGGUACCUGAAGAAUAAGCACCGGCUAACUACGUGCCAGCCGCCGCGGUAA